AAAUCAUAGAAAAUAGGGUAAACUCUAGAUACCACCCCUGUGGUUUCGCACUUUCUCAUUUUAGUAUUCUGUGUUUUAAAGUGUAUCAAGUUAGUGUCCCGUGAUUUUAUUUUUAUCUUUUCGUCAGUUUUUCCGUUAAUAUUUCGUUAAAUUAUAUGCAAAAAACUUCAGAUACUCCACCUAGGCUUAUCGAAUAUUUACUUUACCCUUUAGUUUUAACUUUGUCACUGAAUUAAUAAAAAAAAAUAGUGAAAUCGAUCAUAAAAAGAUUAAAACAAAACCACAUGAUACUAAAUUGAUAUAUUUUAAACCACAUGGUACUAAAGUGAGAAAGUGUGAAACUACAGAGAUGGUAUUUGAAAUUUUCUCUAAAAUAUAAUAGUUCUAUA
Molecule: long non-coding RNA, 389 nt
Filed under: Ananas comosus (pineapple)
Lineage: Eukaryota; Viridiplantae; Streptophyta; Magnoliopsida; Poales; Bromeliaceae
Description: long non-coding RNA (ACOM_LNC024560)
Source: RNAcentral